RNAcentral lists this ribosomal RNA (492 nucleotides) under uncultured bacterium. RNAcentral's name for it is "bacterial SSU rRNA". It matches the Rfam family "Bacterial small subunit ribosomal RNA", at positions 30 to 519 of the family's 1533-position model. The record is from RNAcentral.
AUUGAACGCUGGCGGCAUGCUUUACACAUGCAAGUCGAACGGCAGCGGGGGCUUCGGCCUGCCGGCGAGUGGCGAACGGGUGAGUAAUGCAUCGGAACGUGCCCAGUCAUGGGGGAUAACUACGCGAAAGCGUAGCUAAUACCGCAUACGCCCUGAGGGGGAAAGUGGGGGAUCUUCGGACCUCACGUGAUUGGAGCGGCCGAUGUCAGAUUAGCUAGUUGGUGAGGUAAAGGCUCACCAAGGCGACGAUCUGUAGCGGGUCUGAGAGGAUGAUCCGCCACACUGGGACUGAGACACGGCCCAGACUCCUACGGGAGGCAGCAGUGGGGAAUUUUGGACAAUGGGCGCAAGCCUGAUCCCAGCCAUGCCGCGUGAAGGAAGACGGCCCUACGGGUUGUAAACUUCUUUUAUACGGGGAAUAAAGUGCCCCACGCGUGGGUUUUGCAUGUACCGUAUGAAUAAGGAUCGGCUAACUCCGUGCCAGCAGCCGCG